ACGGGGUGCAGCAGGCGCGAAAUCUUCACAAUGUGCGAAAGCACGAUGAGGGAAUCCCAAGUGCUAGCACGUAAGUGUUAGCUGUUUCUUAGUCUAAAAAACUCAGAGAGUAAGGGCUGGGUAAGACGGGUGCCAGCCGCCGCGGUAAUACCUGCAGCUCAAGUGGUGGCCGCUAUUAUUGGGCCUAAAACGUCCGUAGCCUGUUUAGUAAAUGCUUGGGUAAAUUGUGUAACUUAACUAUACGAACACCGGGUAGACUGCUAAACUUGGGACCGGGAGAGGCUAGAGGUACUCCUAGGGUAGAGGUGAAAUUCUGUAAUCCUAGGGGGACCACCAGUGGCGAAGGCGUCUAGCUAGAACGGGUCUGACGGUGAGGGACGAAGCCCUGGGGCGCGAACCGGAUUAGAUACCCGGGUAGUCCAGGGUGUAAACGCUGCUUGCUUGAUGUUAGUUGGGCUCCGAGCCCAACUAGUGUCGGAGAGAAGUUGUUAAGCAAGCUGCCUGGAAGUACGUCGCAAGAC
Molecule: ribosomal RNA, 521 nt
Filed under: uncultured archaeon
Lineage: Archaea
Description: bacterial SSU rRNA
Rfam family: Archaeal small subunit ribosomal RNA
Source: RNAcentral